UUAAACUAAAGAGUUUGAUCCUGGCUCAGAUUGAACGCUGGCGGCAUGCCUUACACAUGCAA
Molecule: ribosomal RNA, 62 nt
Filed under: Herbaspirillum sp. SJZ106
Lineage: Bacteria; Pseudomonadati; Pseudomonadota; Betaproteobacteria; Burkholderiales; Oxalobacteraceae
Also listed under: 1 other name
Description: partial 16S ribosomal RNA
Source: RNAcentral